GCAACCGUAGUGUAAUGGUAGCACAUUAGCUUGCCAAGUUUUUAGUAAGGGUUCGAAUCCCUUUGGUUGCUCCA
RNAcentral lists this transfer RNA (74 nucleotides) under marine sediment metagenome. Its description in RNAcentral is "tRNA-Gly". It matches the Rfam family "tRNA". Rfam says of the family: Transfer RNA (tRNA) molecules are approximately 80 nucleotides in length. Their secondary structure includes four short double-helical elements and three loops (D, anti-codon, and T loops). The record is from RNAcentral.